UGUUCUUUUCAUAUAAUGAAAACAAAGAAAUUAAAAAGAAAUUGGUUAAUCUUAGUCAAUACAUGCAUCAUGGACAUAGGUUUGCUGAAACAGGGGAAGGCAAAACAAACAGAGUAGCAUCCAUCAGAAGAAAUAUCAAAAGCAGCCAUGAUCACCCUCUCCCCCUCCCCUUUCUCCAUCAUCAGCCACGCCAAUUCUGAGGAUGCUGCAGCUAUUUACGAAAACAGGGGCGUCUCCUGUCCUCACAGUAUCACCAAAUGCUGGGAGCCGUCAGAGCUCAGAGGCUGCAUCUGGUGCUGGUACCCCUGAGGUUCAAUGAAGAAUGGUACAGUCCUGCCACAGAGCGGUGCAGCUGGAGAGGGGGAGGGGAGAGAUGCAGAAAAUGAGAUCAGGAGGAAAAAGGAAGACUGUUGGAAACCAAGAAUGACUGCUGAACAGCGCACAUCCACUUUUAGCUACAAUCUUACACAGUGUUAACUACAGUGAUUGAGUAAAUGACAAUUUGCUAAACAAAUAGUUAUUCCAAUUGCUCACUUAGGAUACAAUAUAAUAAUGCAGUGAACAUAAUCCAUGAUAAUUACAUGGAAGUCAGUGUAAGUACAAUGGCAUAAUAAUUAUAAUGCACUACAUCUUUAAUCUCCUAGAAGGCUAGGCUUCACACACACACAUACAUUAAUGCCGUACCCUGACACUGAGGAAUGUGACCUUUGAGAAUAGCCUAUAUUUUAGUAAAGCCUAUGUGGAUGAUCUAUAAGUGGUAAGUCUUUGUGUGCUUGACACAACUUUGCCAUUGCCCUAUAUUACACUAUUCUGGGUAAAUCCCUGGUGUAAUCCUCCUCAGAGAACCAGCCAGUACAGAACUCCACACUUCCACCUCUGGGACACCAACACACAUCCAAAGACAGCAUAUUUUGUGUGUUCUUAAGCAAACAUAUGUCUAAUUUACCUGACUUCAUGCAAAGAAAGGUAUAGAUAAUUAUACUAUGCACGUCCUUACUUGUAUUCUCUUCAGGUUCCUUGAAAAUAAACAUUGUGCACAAACCAUCAGGUAUUGUCCUGCCAUCAAUCUAAUGCACCUGAGGAAUACACAGUAAAAUUGUGAUCUGUAUCAUAAUAAUCAAUAUAUUUUCUAUCUCUACAUGUUUGACCAUUCAAUGUAUCAAUAAAUGUUGCACACAGAA
Long non-coding RNA from Micropterus dolomieu (smallmouth bass), 1181 nucleotides. RefSeq lists it as uncharacterized. NCBI's taxonomy places the organism in Eukaryota, Metazoa, Chordata, Actinopteri, Centrarchiformes, Centrarchidae. The transcript has 2 exons. The record is from RefSeq and is a predicted model, not a curated record.